Molecule: ribosomal RNA, 406 nt
Filed under: uncultured bacterium
Lineage: Bacteria
Description: partial 16S ribosomal RNA
Rfam family: Bacterial small subunit ribosomal RNA
Source: RNAcentral
AUUGAACGCUGGCGGCAUGCUUUACACAUGCAAGUCGAACGAGUGGCGGAAGGGUGAGUAAUAUCUGGGAACGUGCCGGAUAGUGGGGGAUAACCACUCGAAAGAGUGGCUAAUACCGCAUACUAUCGGAUGUGCCCAUAUGGGAUUAGCUAGUGGGUGGGGUAAAGGCGUACCAAGGCGACGAUCCGUAGCUGGUCUGAGAGGAUGAACGGCCACACGGGAACUGAGACACGGCCCAGACUCCUACGGGAGGCAGCAGUGGGGAAUUUUGGACAAUGGGCGCAAGCCUGAUCCAGCCAUGCCGCGUGUAUGAAGAAGGCCUUCGGGUUGUAAAGUACUUUCGUCUGGGAGGCGUUACCCAAAGAAUAAGCACCGGCUAACUCCGUGCCAGCAGCCGCGGUAAUUC